GCAGUGCAGCACACAGAACAGCAAGCCGUGGUCUUGUACCUCCCAGGCAUGGCUUGCAAUGUUCCUCACAUGCUGCUUAGAGAAAACGCAUGGUCAUAAGAAAUGCAGCUCAAAGUGUGCACACUACCACAGCUCAGGGAAGCAUUCACUCUGGAUCCUUUAAGCUUUUAUUCCUGGUAAGGCAGCCUGCUGUCUCAGCACGUUGGGUUCUCCAGGAAGGAGGCUCUGAGACGGACAUUAGCAUGGAGGAGGUUUACUAGCAGAAGAUAAGAGGGGAAAGCUGGCUCGGGAAGAGGGAAAGGUCAAGUUGCAAUGUGAUCUCCAGUGAAGCUUUAGCUGUCCUCUAGCUCCGAAGAAAAGAAGACCUUCCAGUGGUGUUCUGAGUCUGGGAAGAACCGAGGGGAGAGAGGGAAAGAGGAGGGAACCAGAAACAUGGUGGAGUAGGAGGAUCCUGAGCUCACCUCAUCCCAUGCACACACCAAGGCAACAGCUACACCUGUACAACUGACUCUGAAAAUGACCUGAAGACUAGCAGAAAACACCUUCUACAGCUAGUCAUAGAGAGAAUGCCACAUCGAAAAGGGUUAAGAUGAAAACAGAAAAAUCUCCCCUGUGAAAGUGACAUUUAUGUGACUUGAAGGAGGAAGAGGAGAGAGUCAGCAGCCAUCACCAGACAUCUGGGUUUGGAAGCAGUUUUGCUGAAGAGAACACAACCUGUGUCACUGAAUCCAAACAGCAUUCAUUCUUGGUGGUUGCGAGCAUCCUUGCAUCCAGAGAAAGGAAUCACUUUGCUAUUUUUUAUGGCUUAAUUAUAUUAUUGCAUAAAACAUUUUGGCUGUAUAACUUUCUGGACUUCCUUGCUUUACAACCAAUAAUCCCGCUGAAAUGUGAAAUGUACCUAAAAUUAACAAAGACAGUGUCUCAUCCCACAUCUCUGAUUUCAUUUAGGCUUGAAGAAGUAGUUCAACAUCACACAGAGUACAAAGCACGGGAACAGAGAGACCUAGGUUUGCUCCCAGCUCUGUGCCGCAAAGUCACUCAUUGGUGACCUGAACCAUCUGUAUUCUCUCACCCACCCAGUCUAUUGCUUGUCUCUCUCUGGGAAUAUCAAGAAAAAAAAAAUGGAGAAGAAGGAGUCUUAAUGGAACGUGUUCCCCUUAAUUACCAUUAUAUCAGUCUCUUUUCCCUAUAGGGGCUCCUGUCAGUCUCCCCCUGGACCCACCCCCUUCCUGAAUCAAAACGCUGGAAUCUUCUAUUGCUUCUCUUUAGCUAGCAUGCAGAGACAUAGAAAUAAAAUAACAAGUGGAGAAGAGAGCAAACUAGGAUAGCCUCCAUGACAGGUGAUCCCAGGGUGAAUCUAAUAAUGCAGACUUGACCUUGACCUAUGUCACCUUUAAACCACUUCACCAAAACUCUGUCUACUUCCAGGUCUGUGCCUCCUCUAAUUUCCACCAUGCUUACCUUCUUUCUUUUCAUUACCUCUUCUCUAUUCUCUCCUCCAGAUCCUCUUCUUUUAUUAUCUCCUCCCCAGUGUCCCUUUCUGCAAUCAUCUCCACCUUGUAUUUCUCACCUCUGCUUUUGUCCAUACCCAACAGUUAAGUCUGUUAGCCUAGCAUUACCGCAAGUAA
Leopardus geoffroyi (Geoffroy's cat) is the source of this 1628-nucleotide long non-coding RNA. RefSeq lists it as uncharacterized. The record is from RefSeq and is a predicted model, not a curated record. Lineage: Eukaryota; Metazoa; Chordata; Mammalia; Carnivora; Felidae. The transcript is spliced from 7 exons.